Molecule: non-coding RNA, 175 nt
Organism: Staphylococcus cohnii subsp. cohnii
Lineage: Bacteria; Bacillati; Bacillota; Bacilli; Caryophanales; Staphylococcaceae
Source: Rfam
UAUUUGUCAAGGAUUGAUCCAGCAAUCCUUUACCAGUUAAAUGAAUCACUUGAUAAUUAUUUAAUAAUGCGUCUAAAUUAUCUCUAAUAAUAUCAUUUAACUUUUUACUUCCAAGGCUACCACCCAUGAUUAAUAAAACCUUUUUAUUAUCUUUAAAUUCUGUUAACUGAUAGCC